UUGGCUCAGGGUCGGUUAAACAUCCAUCAGGUUUUUGCCUGCAUUGGGCUGUCAGCUUUAUGCUGCAGCUUUAAGGUGUGCUUUGUGGAGUGCCUGAAUCGCGACUCUUAGGAUUGAGUUCCUGGGUCCUUCUCAAGCGCCAUGAGGUACGGCAUGGGAUACAACUUAAURUCCCAUAGGUGCCAAUUCAACCU
This 194-nucleotide unclassified non-coding RNA is filed under the name Metridia princeps. Its description in RNAcentral is "partial ITS2". The record is from RNAcentral. Lineage: Eukaryota; Metazoa; Arthropoda; Copepoda; Calanoida; Metridinidae.